RNAcentral lists this long non-coding RNA (178 nucleotides) under Ornithorhynchus anatinus (platypus). RNAcentral's name for it is "lncRNA (ENSOANG00000049500.1)". Lineage: Eukaryota; Metazoa; Chordata; Mammalia; Monotremata; Ornithorhynchidae. The record is from RNAcentral.
UGAAAUGGGAGUAACAUAUUGGACUUUAUAACAGAUCAUAUCGUCCUUGAACUUGGAGAGUUCAAGCAUUUUCACAUCGUUUUCUGGAACCAACUCGGUAUGAAUUCUGAGGAUCUAACCCGAUGCAACAGCCUGACGACUCCGAAUCCCCUGGAUUGGGUGCUGAACUUCGUAAGAA